AGGAGAAAGCUUGCUUUCUUGCUGACGAGUGGCGGACGGGUGAGUAAUGCUUGGGAAUCUGGCUUAUGGAGGGGGAUAACGACGGGAAACUGUCGCUAAUACCGCAUAUUAUCGGAAGAUGAAAGUGCGGGACUGAGAGGCCGCAUGCCAUAGGAUGAGCCCAAGUGGGAUUAGGUAGUUGGUGGGGUAAAUGCCUACCAAGCCUGCGAUCUCUAGCUGGUCUGAGAGGAUGACCAGCCACACUGGAACUGAGACACGGUCCAGACUCCUACGGGAGGCAGCAGUGGGGAAUAUUGCGCAAUGGGGGGAACCCUGACGCAGCCAUGCCGCGUGAAUGAAGAAGGCCUUCGGGUUGUAAAGUUCUUUCGGUAUUGAGGAAGGUUGAUGUGUUAAUAGCACAUCAAAUUGACGUUAAAUACAGAAGAAGCACCGGCUAACUCCGUGCCAGCAGCCGCGGUAAUACGGAGGGUGCGAGCGUUAAUCGGAAUAACUGGGCGUAAAGGGCACGCAGGCGGUUAUUUAAGUGAGGUGUGAAAGCCCUGGGCUUAACCUAGGAAUUGCAUUUCAGACUGGGUAACUAGAGUACUUUAGGGAGGGGUAGAAUUCCACGUGUAGCGGUGAAAUGCGUAGAGAUGUGGAGGAAUACCGAAGGCGAAGGCAGCCCCUUGGGAAUGUACUGACGCUCAUGUGCGAAAGCGUGGGGAGCAAACAGGAUUAGAUACCCUGGUAGUCCACGCUGUAAACGCUGUCGAUUUGGGGGUUGGGGUUUAACU
RNAcentral lists this ribosomal RNA (773 nucleotides) under uncultured Haemophilus sp. Its description in RNAcentral is "bacterial SSU rRNA". It matches the Rfam family "Bacterial small subunit ribosomal RNA", at positions 70 to 836 of the family's 1533-position model. Lineage: Bacteria; Pseudomonadati; Pseudomonadota; Gammaproteobacteria; Pasteurellales; Pasteurellaceae. The record is from RNAcentral.